GGUAAUUCUAGCUCAUCUGGUAGAGCACCGAUUUGUGGAUUCGGGUGGUUUGGUUCGAGUCCAAAGUAUUACC
This 73-nucleotide transfer RNA is filed under the name Malassezia slooffiae. RNAcentral's name for it is "tRNA-His". It matches the Rfam family "tRNA". Rfam says of the family: Transfer RNA (tRNA) molecules are approximately 80 nucleotides in length. Their secondary structure includes four short double-helical elements and three loops (D, anti-codon, and T loops). Lineage: Eukaryota; Fungi; Basidiomycota; Malasseziomycetes; Malasseziales; Malasseziaceae. The record is from RNAcentral.